UCCCUAUGGGGUGCAGCAGUCGCGAAAAUUUUGCAAUACACGAAAGUGUGACAGAGCUAUCCCGAGUGCCAUCCGCUGAGGAAGGCUUUUACCCAGUAUAAAUAGCUGGGAGAAUAAGGAGAGGGCAAGUCUGGUGUCAGCCGCCGCGGUAAUACCAGCACCCCGAGUGGUCGGGACGAUUAUUGGGCCUAGAGCAUCCGUAGCUUGCUAGAUAAGUCCCCUGUUAAAUCCACCGAUUCAAUCGUUGGAUUGCGGGGGAUACUGUUUGGCUAGGGGACGGGAGAGGUCGACGGUAUUUCCGGGGUAGGGGUGAAAUCCUAUAAUCCCGGGAAGACCACCAGUGGCGAAGGCUGUCGACUAGAACGCGCCCGACGGUGAGGGAUGAAAGCUGGGGGAGCGAACCGGAUUAGAUACCCGGGUAGUCCCAGCUGUAAACGAUGCAGGCUAGGUGUUUGGGCGGCCACGAGCCGCCCUAGUGCCGCAGGGAAGCUGUUAGGCCUGCCGCCUGGGGAGUACGGCCGCAAGGCUGAAACUUAAAGGAAUUGGCGGGGGAGCACCACAAGGGGUGAAGCUUGCGGUUUAAUUGGAUUCAACGCCGGAA
This 601-nucleotide ribosomal RNA is filed under the name uncultured archaeon. Its description in RNAcentral is "bacterial SSU rRNA". It matches the Rfam family "Archaeal small subunit ribosomal RNA", at positions 319 to 923 of the family's 1478-position model. The record is from RNAcentral.